UACGGAGGGGGCUAGCGUUGUUCGGAAUUACUGGGCGUAAAGGGCGUGUAGGCGGCUUGCCAAGUCAGGCGUGAAAGCCCCGGGCUUAACCUGGGAACUGCGUUUGAGACUGGCAGGCUAGAGUUUGGAAGAGGAGAGUGGAAUUCCCAGUGUAGAGGUGAAAUUCGUAGAUAUUGGGAAGAACACCGGUGGCGAAGUUGGCUCUCUGGUCCACACCUGACGCUGAGGCGCGAAAGCGUGGGGAGCAAACAGG
RNAcentral lists this ribosomal RNA (253 nucleotides) under uncultured bacterium. RNAcentral describes it as "partial 16S ribosomal RNA". It matches the Rfam family "Bacterial small subunit ribosomal RNA", at positions 524 to 776 of the family's 1533-position model. The record is from RNAcentral.